AGGACGAACGCUGGCGGCGUGCUUAACACAUGCAAGUCGAGCGGAAAGGCCCUUCGGGGUACUCGAGCGGCGAACGGGUGAGUAACACGUGAGCAACCUGCCCCUGGCUCUGGGAUAGCCUUCGGAAACGGGGAUUAAUACCGGAUAUUCACUGCUUCCUGCAUGGGGGGUGGUGGAAAGUUUUUCGGCUGGGUGGGGCUCGCGGCCUAUCAGCUUGUUGGGGGGUGACGGCCCACCAAGGCGACGACGGGUAG
RNAcentral lists this ribosomal RNA (254 nucleotides) under uncultured bacterium. Its description in RNAcentral is "partial small subunit ribosomal RNA". It matches the Rfam family "Bacterial small subunit ribosomal RNA", at positions 26 to 286 of the family's 1533-position model. The record is from RNAcentral.